AAGACCCUGGCAUGAGGCUGAGGACAACUUACAAGGGCUUCACCGAAGCAGUGGACCUUUAUUUUGACCACCUGAUGUCCAGGGUGGUGCCACUCCAGUACAAGCGUGGGGGACCUAUCAUCGCUGUGCAGGUGGAGAAUGAAUAUGGUUCCUAUAAUAAAGACCCCGCAUACAUGCCCUACGUCAAGAAGGCACUGGAGGACCGUGGCAUUGUGGAACUGCUCCUGACUUCAGACAACAAGGAUGGGCUGAGCAAGGGGAUCGUCCAGGGAGUGUUGGCCACCAUCAACCUUCAGUCAACACAUGAGCUGCAGCUACUGACCACCUUUCUCUUCAACAUCCAGGUAAGUCCAGCCCCAGGGAAGCUGCGGCCCACCCUGCUCAGUGGCCUAUGGGAAUUCCGAAUGCCUGUCAGCGUGCUCAGCUUCCCCAGCGCAGGGAGCUGGACUCAGGGCUGUUGGCCUCUCAGCCCCCAGCCCAUGCCACUGUGUGCCUGCAAGGCCCACUGCCCAGAAACAGCUCUGAGGGCUGCUGUAUAGGCAGUGGACGUCACCCACUGCCCUGAGAGAGGGGCCCUUUUGGUGCACUCCUAAAGGACUCGACUUUUGUGGCCUCAACUAGCUCCAGACUUGCUCCCAGGGAUUGAGGGGGGAAGAAAAAACUUCCCUGUCCUAUACUACACAGGCAUCUGACCUUAACCUGUGAGGCCCCUGCAAUCCUAGAAAGAUUAUUGUCAUCAGCAAGGCAGGAAGCCUGGUCCACUCCAGGUGCAGAGAGAGGGAGGAGUUUCCAGAUGUCCCUCAAUAUCUGUCAAACUGAUGGGCAUUUACGCUGCACUGCAGUUCUGACUGACCUCUUUCUCGAGCUCGCGCCCCUCCGAAGCAGAUGGAUGGACAGGGCCAUGCUGCAGCCUUCUGCAGACCUGAGAGGCCCCAGCUGUCCCCUGGCUCACUGAGGGGCGUGGAUACUCCAGACUGCCCCCUUGCUGCAUCGUCACACUGGUCCUGGGCCUGGAGU
Molecule: small RNA, 1017 nt
Filed under: Pongo abelii (Sumatran orangutan)
Lineage: Eukaryota; Metazoa; Chordata; Mammalia; Primates; Hominidae
Description: retained intron
Source: RNAcentral